RNAcentral lists this ribosomal RNA (571 nucleotides) under Bryophryne quellokunka. RNAcentral's name for it is "partial 16S ribosomal RNA". The record is from RNAcentral. Lineage: Eukaryota; Metazoa; Chordata; Amphibia; Anura; Craugastoridae.
UUAGCGAUAGCUGGUUACUCAGGAAAAGAAUUUUAGUUCUACCUAAACAUCCUAUAAUAAGAUAAAAUUUAUACUUAUUUUUAGAGCAAUUCAAAUAAGGUUCAGCUUAUUUGAUACAGGGUACAACCUCAACUAACGGGUAAUCUUUAUAUCUCACCACAACCUAGUUGGCCUAAAAGCAGCCACCACUAAAAGCGUCAUAGCUUAUUUCUUCCCCUCAACCAAUAACUUUAAUUUUACCAAACCCUUCAUCAAUACUGAGUAAUUCUAUACUGAUAUAGAAGAUUUUCUGUUAAAACUAGUAACAAGAAAAUAAUUUUCUCCACAAUGCAAACAUAAGUCAGUCUGUACCCAACACUGACAAUUAAUAGGUCUAAACCUAAAGUAGUAACCCCACAAGAAAACACUACUCCUAACUCUAUUAACCUAACACAAGAGCAUCCCAGGAAAGAUUUUAAAAAAAAGAAGGAACUCGGCAAACACUAAUCCCGCCUGUUUACCAAAAACAUCGCCUUUUGACAUCUUCAUAAAAGGUCCAGCCUGCCCAGUGACUUUUGUUCAACGGCCGCGG